RNAcentral lists this ribosomal RNA (330 nucleotides) under uncultured bacterium. RNAcentral describes it as "bacterial SSU rRNA". It matches the Rfam family "Bacterial small subunit ribosomal RNA", at positions 568 to 898 of the family's 1533-position model. The record is from RNAcentral.
UGCGCAGGCGGUUUUGUAAGUCUGAUGUGAAGUCCCCGGGCUCAACCUGGGAAUUGCAUUGGAGACUGCAAGGCUAGAAUCUGGCAGAGGGGGGUAGAAUUCCACGUGUAGCAGUGAAAUGCGUAGAUAUGUGGAGGAACACCGAUGGCGAAGGCAGCCCCCUGGGUCAAGAUUGACGCUCAUGCACGAAAGCGUGGGGAGCAAACAGGAUUAGAUACCCUGGUAGUCCACGCCCUAAACGAUGUCUACUAGUUGUCGGGUCUUAAUUGACUUGGUAACGCAGCUAACGCGUGAAGUAAACCGCCUGGGGAGUACGGUCGCAAGAUUAAA